RNAcentral lists this long non-coding RNA (337 nucleotides) under Mustela putorius furo (domestic ferret). RNAcentral describes it as "lncRNA (ENSMPUG00000031866.1)". Lineage: Eukaryota; Metazoa; Chordata; Mammalia; Carnivora; Mustelidae. The record is from RNAcentral.
CUUUGUUCCUGGAAUGCUUGAGUCCCUGGGAUCUCCCAAAGCUUCAGGCAUCAGUGUUUCCUCAGUGAGAGAGCACAGGCAGAGGAAGUGGCAGGCAGAUGGAGAGGAAGAAGCAGACUCCCCACUGAACAAGGAGCCAGAAGUGGAGCUCGAUUCCUGGGAUCAGACCUGAGCCGAAGGCAGAUACUUAACCUACUGAGCCACCCAGAGGUCCCAACAAAUGUCUUUUUUAAGCUGAUAAAUUUGGGAAUGAUUUGUCAUGCAGCAAUAGGUAAGUAAUAGAAUGAAGUUAUCCCCCAAAUAGAUUAAUAGAAUACCCUUUUGAAGAACUGUCAAU